CGUACGGUUCUCCUUUGUUCUGCCGCUCAGCGGGGUCCAGACACCUGGCAGGGUUGCUACAUUUCUCUGGUCAUCUCAUGCUGCCGUUUCUCUGCCCGGUGGGGUACAGCCUGCUCCCCAGGCUCUCUGGUUAGGCGGAGUUGUAGAAAACGGCGCUCUAGAAAGCAGUUCUGGUGAGAGGUGUGUUUAAAGCAGCCCUACCACGCUGGACACCUGUUUGGUGGUGCCGCUCCAUGCAGGCACCUCUGUCCUCUCCAGAGCUCUCUUCCCACUUUUCAGUGCAUAAUAUCCAACCAGGAGACUGGCUUCUAGUUAAGGAGUGGAAAGAAGCACUACUGGUGGCUAAGUGGCGUGGACCUUUCCAGGUGUUGCUGACCACAGAAACAGCCGUCAAGAGAGCUGAACACGGGUGGACCCAUCACACUCGGUGAUGUGUCAAGGUCUCUAAAGCUCCAGAGGUUUGGACAUCUCAGCUGGAAGAGAAGGAUGGGAAGCCAUGACUGACACUCUGCAGGAGUGGACUGGAGCAGUAGCCGUGUGUCGACAUCGGGGGAAGCCCUGAAUGCCUACACACAGACUGCCUGCUGAAAUAGUCUGUAUGGGCGUCCUUACUCUCAAAUCUCCAGUCUAUUCAGAGACUGCCAGCUAUUCACCACUCUUUACAGAAGUAAAAGUGAACGCCAUUUAUUUCUA
Long non-coding RNA from Cyanistes caeruleus (blue tit), 693 nucleotides. RefSeq lists it as uncharacterized. NCBI's taxonomy places the organism in Eukaryota, Metazoa, Chordata, Aves, Passeriformes, Paridae. The record is from RefSeq and is a predicted model, not a curated record.